CCUACGGGUGGCAGCAGUGGGGAAUAUUGCGCAAUGGGCGAAAGCCUGACGCAGCGACGCCGCGUGAGGGAUGAAGGUCUUCGGAUCGUAAACCUCUGUCAGCAGGGAAGAACGGUCACUGUGCUAAUCAGCAGUGAAUUGACGGUACCUGCAAAGGAAGCACCGGCUAACUCCGUGCCAGCAGCCGCGGUAAUACGGAGGGUGCGAGCGUUAAUCGGGAUUACUGGGCGUAAAGCGCUCGUAGGCGGUAUGUCAAGUCAAGGGUGAAAUCCCCGCGCUCAACGUGGGAACUGCCUUUGAAACUGGCAAACUGGAGUGUGUGAGAGGAUAGUGGAAUUCCAGGUGUAGGAGUGAAAUGCGUAGAUAUCUGGAGGAACAUCAGUGGCGAAGGCGACUAUCUGGCACAUAACUGACGCUGAGGAGCGAAAGCGUGGGUAGCAAACAGGAUUAGAUACCCGGGUAGUC
Molecule: ribosomal RNA, 465 nt
Filed under: uncultured bacterium
Lineage: Bacteria
Description: partial 16S ribosomal RNA
Rfam family: Bacterial small subunit ribosomal RNA
Source: RNAcentral